AUUGAACGCUGGCGGCAUGCCUUACACAUGCAAGUCGAACGGCAGCACGGGUGCUUGCACCUGGUGGCGAGUGGCGAACGGGUGAGUAAUACAUCGGAACGUACCUUAUCGUGGGGGAUAACGCAGCGAAAGCUGUGCUAAUACCGCAUACGCCCUGAGGGGGAAAGCGGGGGAUCGCAAGACCUCGCGCGAUUAGAGCGGCCGAUGCCUGAUUAGCUUGUUGGUGGGGUAAAAGCCCACCAAGGCGACGAUCAGUAGCUGGUCUGAGAGGAAGAUCAGCCACACUGGGACUGAGACACGGCCCAGACGCCUACGGGAGGCAGCAGUGGGGAAUUUUGGGCAAUGGGGGCAACCCUGAUCCAGCAAUGCCGCGUGAGUGAAGAAGGCCUUCGGGUUGUAAAGCUCUUUUGUCAGGGAAGAAACACCGGCUCUAACACAGUCCGGGAAUGACGGUACCUGAAGAAUAAGCACCGGCUAACUACGUGCCAGCCGCCGCCGUAA
RNAcentral lists this ribosomal RNA (501 nucleotides) under uncultured bacterium. Its description in RNAcentral is "partial 16S ribosomal RNA". It matches the Rfam family "Bacterial small subunit ribosomal RNA", at positions 29 to 523 of the family's 1533-position model. The record is from RNAcentral.